This 434-nucleotide small RNA is filed under the name Staphylococcus aureus. RNAcentral describes it as "Transcript". The record is from RNAcentral. Lineage: Bacteria; Bacillati; Bacillota; Bacilli; Caryophanales; Staphylococcaceae.
UCAGGUUUUAACGUACCGAUAUAUGGUAAGUUUCGGUAUAAUUCACGAUAAUCUAAACCGUAACCAACAACAAAUUCAUCUGGUAUUUUUUUACCUACAUACUUAGCUUCAAUGUCCGCUUUACGACGGUUUGGUUUAUCUAAUAAAGUAACUAUUUCUAAUGAAUUAACUUUUCUAGAUUGUAAUAAUUCAGUAAUUGACUUAAGUGUAGUACCAGUCUCUAAGAUAUCUUCAAUAAUUAAUACGUCUUUAUUUUCAAUAGAAGAACCUAAAUCUUUAAUGAUUUGAACUUCACCAGUUGACUCAGUGCCUCCGUGAUAACUAGAAACAUCCAUGAAAUCAAUUGAUAAAUGGGUAUCAAUUCGUUUAAUUAAAUCUGACAUAAACAUUGCUGAGCCUUUUAAGAUACCCACGCAUACUAAUGGUUUACCUUG